AGUAAACAGAACAGAGACUAGGAGAGAUAGAGAACAGAACAGAGGCUAGGAGAGACAGAGCGCAGAACAGAGGCUAGGAGAGACAGAGCGCAGAACAGAGGCUAGGAGAGACAGAGAGCAGAACAGAGGCUAGGAGAGACAGAGCGCAGAACAGAGGCUAGGAGAGACAGAGAGCAGAACAGAGGCUAGGAGAGACAGAGAGCAGAACAGAGGCUAGGAGAGACAGAGCGCAGAACAGAGGCUAGGAGAGACAGAGCGCAGAACAGAGGCUAGGAGAGACAGAGAGCAGAACAGAGGCUAGGAGAGACAGAGAGCAGAACAGAGGCUAGGAGAGACAGAGAGCAGAACAGAGGCUAGGAGAGACAGAGAGCAGAACAGAGGCUAGGAGAGACAGAGAGCAGAACAGAGGCUAGGAGAGACAGAGCGCAGAACAGAGGCUAGGAGAAACAGAGCGCAGAACAGAGGCUAGGAGAGACAGAGAGCAGAACAGAGGCUAGGAGAGACAGAGCGCAGAACAGAGGCUAGGAGAGACAGAGAGCAGAACAGAGGCUAGGAGAGACAGAGAGCAGAACAGAGGCUAGGAGAGACAGAGAACAGAACAGAGGCUAGGAGAGACAGAGAGCAGAACAGAGAGACAGACAGAGAGCAGAACAGAGGAGAGACAGAAAGCAGAACAGAGAGACAGACAGAAAGCAGAACAGAGAGACAGACAGAAAGCAGAACAGAGAGACAGACAGAAAGCAGAACAGAGAGACAGACAGAGAACAGAACAGAGAGACAGACAGAAAGCAGAACAGAGAGACAGACAGAGAACAGAACAGAGGAGAGACAGAAAGCAGAACAGAGGAGAGACAGAGAGCAGAACAGAGGAGAGACAGAGAGCAGACAUGAGCCACAGUUUAACCACACAUUUCAGAGAUGGAGUGCUGAUCUCGGAUCAGGUCCAUCUUCUCAUUCAGUCUAGGAGUGCUGAUCUCGGAUCAGGUCCACCUUCUCAUUCAGUCUCUGAAUACUGAUCUCGGAUCAGGUCC
Oncorhynchus tshawytscha (Chinook salmon) is the source of this 1031-nucleotide long non-coding RNA. Lineage: Eukaryota; Metazoa; Chordata; Actinopteri; Salmoniformes; Salmonidae. The record is from Ensembl.